RNAcentral lists this ribosomal RNA (1209 nucleotides) under Triticum aestivum (bread wheat). Its description in RNAcentral is "partial small subunit ribosomal RNA". The record is from RNAcentral. Lineage: Eukaryota; Viridiplantae; Streptophyta; Magnoliopsida; Poales; Poaceae.
AUGCGUCAAGUACAAGAGCUUCUCGACAAAGGUUAUAUACGCGAAUCCCUUAGUCCUUGUGCUGUUCCUAUUAUUCUAGUGCCGAAAAAGGAUGGUACAUCACGUAUGUGUGUUGAUUGUAGAGGCAUUAAUAAUAUUACUAUUCGUUAUCGUCAUCCUAUUCCUAGGCUAGAUGAUAUGCUUGAUGAAUUGAGUGGCUCUACAAUAUUCUCCAAAGUUGAUUUGCGUAGUGGAUACCAUCAAAUUCGUAUGAAAUUGGGAGAUGAAUGGAAAACAGCAUUCAAAACUAAGUUUGGAUUAUAUGAGUGGUUAGUCAUGCCUUUUGGGUUAACUAAUGCACCUAGUACUUUCAUGAGAUUAAUGAACGAAGUUUUACGUGCUUUCAUUGGACGAUUUGUGGUAGUUUACUUUGAUGACAUAUUGAUUUAUAGCAGAUCUUUGGAAGAACAUUUGGAACAUUUACGUGCUGUUUUUAUUGCUCUACGUGAUGCACGUUUGUUUGGUAACCUUGGGAAGUGCACCUUUUGCACCGACCGAGUAUCUUUUCUUGGCUAUGUUGUUACUCCACAGGGAAUUGAAGUUGAUAAAGCCAAGAUUGAAGCUAUUGAGAGUUGGCCGCAACCCAAAACGGUCACACAAGUGAGGAGUUUUCUUGGCCUCGCUGGAUUCUAUAGGCGUUUUGUGAGAGAUUUCAGCACCAUUGCUGCACCUCUCAAUGAGCUUACAAAGAAAGAUGUGCCUUUUCUUUGGGGUACCGCACAGGAAGAAGCCUUCUCGGUAUUGAAAGAUAAGUUGACACAUGCUCCUUUACUCCAACUUCCUGAUUUUAAUAAGACUUUUGAGCUUGAAUGUGAUGCUAGUGGAAUUGGAUUAGGCGUUGUGUUAUUACAAGAUGGCAAACCUGUUGCAUACUUUUCUGAAAAAUUGAGUGGGCCUAGUCUGAAUUAUUCUACUUAUGAUAAAGAAUUAUAUGCUCUUGUUCGGACUUUAGAAACAUGGCAACAUUAUUUAUGGCCCAAAGAAUUUGUUAUACAUUCUGAUCAUGAAUCUUUGAAACAUAUUAAAAGUCAAGCUAAACUGAAUCGUAGACAUGCUAAAUGGGUUGAAUUCAUUGAGACUUUUCCUUAUGUCAUUAAACACAAGAAGGGAAAAGAAAAUGUUAUUGCUGAUGCAUUGUCUCGCCGCUAUUACUAUGCUUUCACAACUUGA